AGACACACAGAAAGAAUAUGAGAAGGCAACCAAGGAAAUACACUAGAGGGCAAAGCUUUUUAAACAGUGGACUAGAGAUAGAGUAUAUGGUGGUAAAAAAAAAAAAUUCUAUCCAUCCAACAUAGACAUUGUUUGCUUUCCCAUCCCAUGAAAACCUUAGAACUGGCAAUAACACAUGCUGGUGCUAAAAGUGAUCUCAUAGGCCACACACUCCAAAUCCAUAUCCACUCCCCAGGUGCCAUUUUGUGAAACCAAUAAUUAAGUAACGAGAGAAUAAAUUCAUAUGUGACACAUUUGUGUAUACCUUUUGUAAACCCUGUGUACUAUAAUAAAGUGUUUGUCAGGUUCUGAAUUCCAUACCAGGAAGACAAAACCAUAAACUCAUAAAAAUGGUGUCACUUGGGACUCCUGAUUUCUGAUGCUAGCAUUCAGUGAUUCCCAUUAAUUCUUGCUUCAGCUAAAAAAAUUUUCUUCUAAGACAAAACAAUGAAUCCAGUCAUCAGGGAAAGAUUUUCAGCUGGUUCACAAGAUUAACAUAUUUCUGUGACACUUCUCCCAUCUGUACUUCUUCAGAGGCAGAACCUCAAACCAUAUCCCUAUUUCUUACGUGCCUCACAAUACUGUGUAUGAAUGGUUGCAUGAAUAAUUGAAUGAAAUGUCAAUUAAGCUGUUAGAAGAUGAAAUUAAAAAAGAAAACAGAAGCUCAGAAAUUUAUGUCUAUUUUCCUCUUAUACAGCAUCCCAUGUAGAGAUGUUGUAGUCACAACUAUCCCAAGGUCUGUCAUGAGGCAAGAUUUGCUUAUCCUGUACAAUUCAUAUGAAUGGAAUCAUACAAUUUGUGAUCUUUCACUCUGCAGUACGUUUUCAAGUUUCAUCAGUAAUGUAGAAUGAAUCAGUACUUCAUUAUUUUUAUAGCAGAAUAAUAUUUCAUUGUGUACACAUACUGUAUUUUGUUU
Molecule: long non-coding RNA, 955 nt
Filed under: Homo sapiens (human)
Lineage: Eukaryota; Metazoa; Chordata; Mammalia; Primates; Hominidae
Description: HSALNT0285169
Source: RNAcentral